Molecule: ribosomal RNA, 482 nt
Filed under: uncultured bacterium
Lineage: Bacteria
Description: partial 16S ribosomal RNA
Rfam family: Bacterial small subunit ribosomal RNA
Source: RNAcentral
AUUGAACGCUGGCGGCAUGCUUUACACAUGCAAGUCGAACGGUAACAGGCCGCAAGGUGCUGACGAGUGGCGAACGGGUGAGUAAUGCAUCGGAACGUGCCCAGUCGUGGGGGAUAACUACUCGAAAGAGUAGCUAAUACCGCAUACGAUCUAUGGAUGAAAGCGGGGGACCGUAAGGCCUCACGCGAUUGGAGCGGCCGAUGUCAGAUUAGGUAGUUGGUGGGGUAAAGGCUCACCAAGCCAACGAUCUGUAGCUGGUCUGAGAGGACGACCAGCCACACUGGGACUGAGACACGGCCCAGACUCCUACGGGAGGCAGCAGUGGGGAAUUUUGGACAAAGGGCGCAAGCCUGAUCCAGCAAUGCCGCGUGCAGGAAGAAGGCCUUCGGGUUGUAAACUGCUUUUGUACGGAACGAAACGGCUCUGGUUAAUACCCGGGGCUAAUGACGGUACCGUAAGAAUAAGCACCGGCUAACUACGCG